CCAUUUUGUUCUCAACCUAAUUUGGGCCAAAAUGCAAUAACCUUAACCUUUGGGCUAUGUUGCAAAACUUAAACUUUUGAGCUCAUUUUGUAAAAACACAAAAGUUCACUACUUCAUGUAAUCACAACUAGAACCCAAAAUUUUCAACAAAUUGAAAAACUUCAUUAAAUGAACAAAACAAUUUGUCCUUUAAUGAUUUUGGGCCUUUACGUAAUACGUAAACUUUUGGGUCAAACUAAAAAUUACACAAAAGUACCAAAACUUUAUGUAAUUGCAUAAAAGCCCCAAAAGCACCCCACUUGUAGGGUGGCCGGUUUUGGAGAGAUUGAAGCCACAAAAUUUUGAAAAAUUUUCAACAAAGUCAUAAAGCCAUGCAAGUGGAUAUAGGUUGGUGUGAAUAAAGCCAUGCAAGUGGUGUGUGUGUAAGAGAAGUACUUCUUACACACCCAUCACCAUUUCUAUCACCUUUCAAAAUUUCAAUAAAUGUUUUGUUGAUAGAUAAGUCACACCCACCAACACAAAAUAAAGACUUUAUGAAUCAUCCAAAACUUUGAAUCAAAACAUCAAACCUUUUUGUUCUUGGUAAGAACUUCAAGAACAAUGAAGAACAUCCAUGAAAACCCAUAAGAGUUCCAUGAACAUUUUCAAGCAAUAAAAAUCAAAUUUUCACUACUCAAAAUGGGGUUAACAUCCUAGGGUACUUAGGGGUUCCAAAAGUCACCUUAAAACACUUUUAACAAGACAAACAUGAACCCAAAAAAUCACCCUUUGGAUUUGGCCGAAAAUCCCCAAAAACUUGGCACCAAAUUUUAGCUCCAAAAUUCAUGCUCAUAUGAACUACAUCUACAACAUUUGAGAUGGCAAAUUUUCUAACAAAAUUUACAUUCAAAAAAGCAAGAAUAAAGCUUGUAACAUUUACAACAUUCAAAUAAAAGAUUAUGAACUACAAAACCCAAAAUGAUUCACCAACUACUAGACCUAGGCUCUGAUACCACUUGAAGGAAAUUUUGUGAAAAACAUGUUUAUUUAAGCAACAUCUAUAGCAUGCAAUUAACAAAUUAAAGGCGGAAUCAUGCUUGCAUGCACUCAAAACAAAACAUUACCCAUUAAAUUCAAAGCCUAGUAGAUUGGUUAACCUUGACUCAACUUAAAACAACAUUGGUUAGUUGAGAAAUUAUACCUUUGUAGAUUCCUCUUUGCAUAAGCAAAGGCUAAUCACCCAAAGAGAGGGCCUUCAUUCCUUGCAUCUUAGAUCUAUGGAUUUGGAUGGAUGAAAUGGUUCUCCAAGUUCCCAAAAUUGAGAACCUCUAAGUCUCUUCACCAAGGUUAUAUUGGAGAAGAAAUGAGUGACCUUGGAGUAGUAGGAUUGCUAGCUAAACCCUCCAAGGAGGCCAGCCACUUUAGAGAGAAAGGAGAGCUUAUGUUCUCAUCCUUUCCCCAAAAGAAAACCCUAAAUGAAUUUUG
RNAcentral lists this long non-coding RNA (1464 nucleotides) under Malus domestica (apple). Its description in RNAcentral is "long non-coding RNA (MDOM_LNC002009)". Lineage: Eukaryota; Viridiplantae; Streptophyta; Magnoliopsida; Rosales; Rosaceae. The record is from RNAcentral.